UGGCGGACGGGUGAGUAACGCGUGGGUAACCUGCCUUGUACUGGGGGACGAACAGUUAGAAAUGACUGCUAAUACCGCAUAAGCGCACAGUAUCGCAUGAUACAGUGUGAAAAACUACCGGUGGUACAAGAUGGACCCGCGUCUGAUUAGCUAGUUGGUAAGGUAACGGCUUACCAAGGCGACGAUCAGUAGCCGACCUGAGAGGGUGACCGGCCACAUUGGGACUGAGACACGGCCCAAACUCCUACGGGAGGCAGCAUG
RNAcentral lists this ribosomal RNA (261 nucleotides) under uncultured bacterium. Its description in RNAcentral is "partial 16S ribosomal RNA". It matches the Rfam family "Bacterial small subunit ribosomal RNA", at positions 96 to 353 of the family's 1533-position model. The record is from RNAcentral.